AGAGUUUGAUCCUGGCUCAGAACGAACGCUGGCGGCAGGCCUAACACAUGCAAGUCGAGCGAUCCCUUCGGGGAUAGCGGCGGACGGGUUAGUAACGCGUGGGAACGUGCCCUUCACUACGGAAUAGCCUCUGGAAACGGAGAUUAAUACCGUAUACGCCCUUCGGGGGAAAGAUUUAUCGGUGAAGGAUCGGCCCGCGUCUGAUUAGAUAGUUGGUGGGGUAAUGGCCUACCAAGUCUACGAUCAGUAGCUGGUUUGAGAGGAUGAUCAGCAACACUGGGACUGAGACAUGGCCCAGACUCCUACGGGAGGCAGCAGUGGGGAAUCUUAGACAAUGGGCGCAAGCCUGAUCUAGCCAUGCCGCGUGAGUGAUGAAGGUCUUAGGAUCGUAAAGCUCUUUCGCCAGGGAUGAUAAUGACAGUACCUGGUAAAGAAACCCCGGCUAAYUCCGUGCCAGCAGCCGCGGUAAUACGGAGGGGGUUAGCGUUGUUCGGAAUUACUGGGCGUAAAGCGCGCGUAGGCGGAUUGAAAAGUUGGGGGUGAAAUCCCGGGGCUCAACCCCGGAACUGCCUCCAAAACUAUCAWUCUAGAGUUCGAGAGAGGUGAGUGGAACUCCGAGUGUAGAGGUGAAAUUCGUAGAUAUUCGGAAGAACACCAGUGGCGAAGGCGGCUCACUGGCUCGAUACUGACGCUGAGGUGCGAAAGUGUGGGGAGCAAACAGGAUUAGAUACCCUGGUAGUCCACACCGUAAACGAUGAAUGCCAGUUGUCGGAUAGCAUGCUAUUCGGUGACACACCUAACGGAUUAAGCAUUCCGCCUGGGGAGUACGGUCGCAAGAUUAAAGCUCAAGGA
This 852-nucleotide ribosomal RNA is filed under the name uncultured bacterium. RNAcentral's name for it is "bacterial SSU rRNA". It matches the Rfam family "Bacterial small subunit ribosomal RNA", at positions 8 to 907 of the family's 1533-position model. The record is from RNAcentral.